This 72-nucleotide transfer RNA is filed under the name Mesocricetus auratus (golden hamster). It matches the Rfam family "tRNA". From Rfam's summary of the family: Transfer RNA (tRNA) molecules are approximately 80 nucleotides in length. Their secondary structure includes four short double-helical elements and three loops (D, anti-codon, and T loops). Further hydrogen bonds mediate the characteristic L-shaped molecular structure. tRNAs have two regions of fundamental functional importance: the anti-codon, which is responsible for specific mRNA codon recognition, and the 3' end, to which the tRNAs corresponding amino acid is attached (by aminoacyl-tRNA synthetases). tRNAs cope with the degeneracy of the genetic code in two manners: having more than one tRNA (with a specific anti-codon) for a particular amino acid; and 'wobble' base-pairing, i.e. permitting non-standard base-pairing at the 3rd anti-codon position. Lineage: Eukaryota; Metazoa; Chordata; Mammalia; Rodentia; Cricetidae. The record is from Rfam by way of RNAcentral.
GGGGCUGUAGCUCAGUUGGUAGAGUGCUUGCCUUUUGUGCAUGAAGCCCUGGGCUUGAUUCUCAGAACCUCA